AAAAGACGCCGCUUUAAACCGGAAAAGAAACCUACUGCCAGAGUUCAUCCCAAAGACGAAAAAUCUCGACGAAAGAGUAAUAACAAAUUUCUAGACGGGACCAUCACACCAAAGAGACAUGGCCUCUCUGAAUGGCUUUGACAAGUAGUUGGCUGAGCAGGUUGCCCUUUAUCCCAACCUGUACGAUCCAGAUCAUGAGUUUUACAUGAACAAACGGAUUAACGCUUGUUAUCGUGGCGAGAAAUCACAAACAAGCUUGCGGAACCGUUUUAUCCGAGCCAGGAAAAAGGCGGAAUGCGGUUCCGCGAACGCCUCACUGUUGUUAGAAUCGCUGUCAUGGCUGGUGGACUUUGUUUAAUACAAGACGAUGGAGGCAGAAAUUCAGAGGAUGUCUUUAACCCAACCUGCAAAAAUCCAAAUAGACGUUAUGAGAUUGUGUGAAGAGGUGCAACGUUGCCCGUGUCUUUAUGAUGGGUCCUUAACACAUAAUAGAGACGUGGAAAAGGACAGCAAUUUGUGGAGGGAAAUUGCAAAGAAUUUGGGAGUGAGUGAAAGUGCUGGUCGGAUAAAGUGGAAAUCUUUAAGAGACAAGCUUGUGAAGACAAGGAAGAGGCUGCAGCUGAAGAGAAGAAGCUGUGCAACCUUGCUUCUGCUCCCCAUAUAUAUUCCUUGAUGGGCUGGCUCUCUGACUUUGUGAGCCCAUGGGAGUUAAAUUCCAAGUCUGCAGAAGAGGCAAUGUCGAUUAUCUUUGAAGGCAGAGGAAGGCAGUGAUACAGUCACCCUCCUCCAGAAAACUGUUGAUCUCAGCGAUUCGCCACACCGCUCAACAGCAUCACCUACAGAGGGGUCGCCAUCUCCACUCAAUCCCUCCUACUCAGCAUCAACAACUGUCGUGAAAAAAUCCUCAUCCGCGACCACUGAGGAUUUUAUUCAAAACAAACUCCAGGAGAUUAAGAAGAUUAUUAAGAAGGCCAAAGAAGAUCAGAGGAAGAGGCAAGACUUGGGUAUGAUGUUUGUGAUGGGUACAGGUCCAAGGGGUGCAUUUAUUUGAACUGUAGUAUUAAUGAGCUUCAACAUUACUGGUUCUGCUCAUGUGAUUUGAUAAAAAAGGAUAUAUAUUUUUAUUUUAUUGUUCUUAUUUCAUGAAUUUAUCUUACUAUUUCUGUCUCGGCUGAAUUCUCUCUCGAGGCCUGUGUGCAAUGAACAAGGGCAACUCUGAAGUAGCUUUUGACACACAGACUGUGCUGACAGUAACAAUUGCAGCGUCCAUAAACAUUUAAAAGUGUGGUCACAAUUGAGCUCUUGCACCAUAAGUGGAACAUGUUUGUAUAGCUGCGUCUGUGUGGUUUAACAUGUGGGAAGAAGCUUCUACAAAUCUGUGCCACUACAUGGUGAAAUUUUGUGGCAUAUCAAUACAGCCACAGUAUUGUGUUAAUUUGCAAUAUUGUAUCAAUACAGGGACACCAGAUAUCAAUAUUUCAUUAAAUAAAUUAGAAUACUGUGGAAAUACAGUGAAAAGAGCACAAGUGCACCGAUAUCCUAGGAUAACGUUAGCCGAGCAAACUUGGAUUAAAUCGUCGGAACUGAAAAAUCACCCAACACUGAGUCGAUGAUUUAUCACUGUUCAUUCCAUUUAACUGCGGAUGGCAAGAAUUUAUGACAGUGUUGGUUAUGUUUGACAGUCUCAUUUUGCAGCGUAAUGAUUAAAGUGAGAAAACGUUAUCUUAUUGGAUAAAACGCAUAUUGACGAAGUUUAGUUUUGAGGGCAUAAUUUGCAGUUGGAAAAAAAAGGUGCUAAAUCGCAGUAUUCGUUAUUGCAGAACUCGCCGUAUAGUGGCGUGGCUGAUGAUUGUGGUGUAAGGUGAUAAUGUGGUGUUUGUCAGAUUUCCAUCUUCCCCUGUCCUCCCUGAACCUCUAGGUUCCGCCUUUCAGGCUGAUAUCAGCGUGUAUGUGGCGGGUUGCUCAGGAGAGAAAGGUAGGGGAGUAGGAAAACUGUACAAAUUCAUCUCACUGGUGUCAGAGAUGGUCCCAGACCUUCUGGGCUACAAACAUAAGACUCAGCUGAUCCUUGGACUGAGGGCCCAGGGACAGCUGGUGAAGUAGCCUUCCGGUCAUUCUAGUAUUCACAGAGCUUAAUGGAAAAUCUGGAUUUCUGGGGAAUCGAGAAGUUUGCUGAAGAGAGCACCGUCGAGUCUUCUCCAUUCAGCGAGAACAAUGCAAAUAAACACGUCUGUUCGGACUGUG
Oreochromis niloticus (Nile tilapia) is the source of this 2244-nucleotide long non-coding RNA. RefSeq lists it as uncharacterized. NCBI's taxonomy places the organism in Eukaryota, Metazoa, Chordata, Actinopteri, Cichliformes, Cichlidae. The transcript has 4 exons. The record is from RefSeq and is a predicted model, not a curated record.